UACCCGCUGAACUUAAGCAUAUCAAUAAGCGGAGGAAAAGAAACUAACAAGGAUUCCCCUAGUAACUGCGAGUGAAGCGGGAAAAGCUCAAAUUUAAAAUCUGGUAGCCUUCGGUUGCCCGAGUUGUAGUCUGGAGAAGCGUUUUCCGCGCUGGACCGUGUACAAGUCUCUUGGAACAGAGCGUCAUAGAGGGUGAGAAUCCCGUCUUUGACACGGACUACCAGUGCUUUGUGAUGCGCUCUCAAAGAGUCGAGUUGUUUGGGAAUGCAGCUCAAAAUGGGUGGUAAAUUCCAUCUAAAGCUAAAUAUUGGCGAGAGACCGAUAGCGAACAAGUACCGUGAGGGAAAGAUGAAAAGCACUUUGGAAAGAGAGUUAAACAGUACGUGAAAUUGCUGAAAGGGAAACGCUUGAAGUCAGUCGCGUCUUCUAGUACUCAGCCUUCCUUUUGGUUGGUGCAUUUACUAGUCGACGGGCCAGCAUCAGUUUUGGCUGCGGGAUAAAGGUCAGAGGAAUGUGGCACCUUCGGGUGUGUUAUAGCCUCUGGUCAUAUACCGUGGCUGGGACUGAGGAUCUCAGCAUGCCUUUAUGGCGGGGGUUCGCCCACCUUCAUGCUUAGGAUGCUGGCGUAAUGGCUUUAAACGACCCGUCUUGAAACACGGACCAAGGAGUCUAACAUGCCUGCGAGUGUUUGGGUGGAAAACCCGAGCGCGUAAUGAAAGUGAUAGUUGGGAUCUCUGUCGUGGAGAGCACCGACGCCCGGACCAGACCUUCUGUGACGGAUCCGCCGGUAAGAAGGCAAA
This 800-nucleotide ribosomal RNA is filed under the name Phlebiopsis sp. 7 YNZ-2020. Its description in RNAcentral is "partial large subunit ribosomal RNA". It matches the Rfam family "Eukaryotic large subunit ribosomal RNA", at positions 22 to 808 of the family's 3401-position model. Lineage: Eukaryota; Fungi; Basidiomycota; Agaricomycetes; Polyporales; Phanerochaetaceae. The record is from RNAcentral.